Long non-coding RNA from Callorhinchus milii (elephant shark), 237 nucleotides. RefSeq lists it as uncharacterized. Lineage: Eukaryota; Metazoa; Chordata; Chondrichthyes; Chimaeriformes; Callorhinchidae. The transcript has 3 exons. The record is from RefSeq and is a predicted model, not a curated record.
CACAGCAACGCAGGCCAACAACAAGAUGCUCCGAGAGGAUGUUAUCAUAACCUCUCAGGAAUGGCCUGGAAUCCAAAUGGUCAAAGGGCACCCACCUUCUGAGACACCCUGAGCCCCUGCACGCUGCUAAAAACAGCUCUGCUGCCUCAAACGUGCAAAGUCUUAAAAAAAACAAAAGGAAGUUUGGCAAAUUAAAGGCACAUGCGCCACGAAACACCAUAGAACAGAUGCCGGAGA